GGUAUUCUCUCCAAUUAUGAAGGUUGAACUUAUACAUGAUGCAUAAUUACAUAUAUACAUAUAUAAUCCGGUUUCCCUAUAUCCAUCUAACUACCUAAUUAAACAACAAAGGGUUGGAUCAGUUGGGACCCCAACAACUCAAGUACAUGACUUUUCUCAAUGAUUCUUCUGAUUCUUCUUCUUCUUGGUUUGGGAGAGUGAUCGGAGAUUGGCUUUGGCGUGGUGGUGGAUGGCUCUGAUGGUGUAGUUCCACCGUGCAAACCCUUGGUCUUCUUUGAGUGCCUCCACCAAACCAACAGUUCCAGCCACCAUCCAUGCUCUGGUAGUUGAGCUCAUCUAAGUGGGUUGUGAUGAUUUUGUUUGUAAUCAAAAGUAAGUGAUUGAUGAUGAAUCAAAGGACUUGAAUGUGGUAUAAAUAGAUGCAAUCUAACCGCACAUAAGCCCAGGUUUGAGGAAUAAAACAGUGGGAAUAAUAGCCUGUGGUUUUAUGGUACUUGAUUUCUCAGUAAUGCCCUUUGAACAUGAAAAAAUAGAAUAGUAAUUGUCUAGUUUCCAUGAAUCUGUUUUAGUUUGUCACUGUUCAAAAUUAUUUAUGAAUUCUCGUCUUCGAUU
Molecule: long non-coding RNA, 612 nt
Filed under: Helianthus annuus (common sunflower)
Lineage: Eukaryota; Viridiplantae; Streptophyta; Magnoliopsida; Asterales; Asteraceae
Description: hypothetical non coding rna
Source: RNAcentral